This 633-nucleotide long non-coding RNA is filed under the name Marmota monax (woodchuck). Lineage: Eukaryota; Metazoa; Chordata; Mammalia; Rodentia; Sciuridae. The record is from RNAcentral.
UUCCUGCCAACUAGAAAAGGGUGCCUCUUCCUCAAGACACUUUAAUGUCACUUGCUGGGGGAAAAAAAAAAAAGUUGUCACAAAAUAGAGAUGUUUUGAAAACAGACCACUCUACUUUAAGAAAUUUAGAUCUACCACGUGUAUACUGUGAACAGGGCCUCUAGAAGCAUAUAUCACAUAACCAACCCAUCCAAACAGAGCAGCCCUGUCAUUUAUCCUCCAAAACAUUUUUGAGUGUGCAGAUACUAUGUCCCCUUUCAAGGUUCAGAAAACGCAACAUCAUGAAAGUUCUGGGCUAUCUGAAACCACAGCCCCAUAGCCAUAAACUCCAGAAAAAUGAAUAUGUGGUCUUCCCAGGAUGGCCUGAAUUGGCCUGUCUCCUCUACCAUAUCACCCCAGACUCACCAUGAGAAUGAGAGCUCCCACAAAGAUUCCAUCUCCACCCCAAGGCAGGACAGCCAAAAGAAGCAACUGCCAUCAGGCAGCCAGACUAUAGUCAUUAGGCCACAUAGCAAAAAUGAGUGACCGCAUCUUAACAGGUUUAAUGAGAAACUACUGUACUUUUUCCUCACUCACCCAAGAUACUGUUUCCGAAAUGUCCCUCAGAACACUAGUCACAUGAGAUAACUCCAU